GAUGAACGCUGGCGGCGUGCCUAAUACAUGCAAGUCGAGCGAACAGACGAGGAGCUUGCUCCUCUGACGUUAGCGGCGGACGGGUGAGUAACACGUGGAUAACCUACCUAUAAGACUGGGAUAACUUCGGGAAACCGGAGCUAAUACCGGAUAAUAUAUUGAACCGCAUGGUUCAAUAGUGAAAGACGGUUUUGCUGUCACUUAUAGAUGGAUCCGCGCCGCAUUAGCUAGUUGGUAAGGUAACGGCUUACCAAGGCAAUGAUGCGUAGCCGACCUGAGAGGGUGAUCGGCCACACUGGAACUGAGACACGGUCCAGACUCCUACGGGAGGCAGCAGUAGGGAAUCUUCCGCAAUGGGCGAAAGCCUGACGGAGCAACGCCGCGUGAGUGAUGAAGGUCUUCGGAUCGUAAAACUCUGUUAUUAGGGAAGAACAAAUGUGUAAGUAACUAUGCACGUCUUGACGGGACCUAAUCAGAAAGCCACGGCUAACUACGUG
Molecule: ribosomal RNA, 497 nt
Filed under: uncultured bacterium
Lineage: Bacteria
Description: partial 16S ribosomal RNA
Rfam family: Bacterial small subunit ribosomal RNA
Source: RNAcentral